ACUCAAAGGAAUAGACGGGGGCCCGCACAAGCAGUGGAGUAUGUGGUUUAAUUCGAAGCAACGCGAAGAACCUUACCAGGGCUUGACAUCCCGCGCAUAGCCAAGAGAUUGGCGAAGUCCUACGGGACGCGGAGACAGGUGGUGCAUGGUUGUCGUCAGCUCGUGUCGUGAGAUGUUGGGUUAAGUCCCGCAACGAGCGCAACCCCUGUUGUUAGUUGCCAUCAUUAAGUUGGGCACUCUAGCAAGACUGCCGGUGACAAAUCGGAGGAAGGUGGGGACGACGUCAAAUCAUCAUGCCCCUUAUGUCCUGGGCUACACACGUACUACAAUGGCUAAAACAGAGGGAAGCAAGAGAGCAAUCUGGAGCGAAGCCCAAAAAAUAGCCUCAGUUCGGAUUGUGGGCUGCAACCCGCCCACAUGAAGUCGGAAUUGCUAGUAAUGGCAGGUCAGCAUACUGCCGUGAAUACGUUCCCGGGCCUUGCACACACCGCCCGU
Molecule: ribosomal RNA, 495 nt
Filed under: uncultured bacterium
Lineage: Bacteria
Description: bacterial SSU rRNA
Rfam family: Bacterial small subunit ribosomal RNA
Source: RNAcentral